GAUGAACGCUAGCUACAGGCUUAACACAUGCAAGUCGAGGGACCGGCGCACGGGUGAGUAACACGUAUCCAACCUGCCCUUUACUCGGGGAUAGCCUUUCGAAAGAAAGAUUAAUACCCGAUGUAAAGGAUGGGGAUGCGUUCCAUUAGGUUGUUGGUGAGGUAACGGCUCACCAAGCCUUCGAUGGAUAGGGGUUCUGAUAGGAAGGUCCCCGCCAUGGGAACUGAGACACGGCCCAAACUCCUACGCGAGGCAGCAGGGAGGAAUAUUGGGCAAUGGGCGUUAGCCUGAACCCGCCAAGUAGCGUGAAGGAUGAAGGCUUAAGGGGCAUAAACUUCUUUUAUAUAAGAAUCUGUAUUAUAUGAAUAAGGAUCGGCUAACUCCGUGCCAGCAGCCGCGGUAAUAC
This 406-nucleotide ribosomal RNA is filed under the name uncultured bacterium. Its description in RNAcentral is "partial 16S ribosomal RNA". It matches the Rfam family "Bacterial small subunit ribosomal RNA", at positions 28 to 526 of the family's 1533-position model. The record is from RNAcentral.